GAUGAACGCUGGCGGCGUGCCUAAUACAUGCAAGUCGAACGCACAGCGAAAGGUGCUUGCACCUUUCAAGUGAGUGGCGAACGGGUGAGUAACACGUGGACAACCUGCCUCAAGGCUGGGGAUAACAUUUGGAAACAGAUGCUAAUACCGAAUGAAACUUAGUGUCGCAUGAUACGAAGUUAAAAGGCGCUUUGGCGUCACCUAGAGAUGGAUCCGCGGUGCAUUAGUUAGUUGGUGGGGUAAAGGCCUACCAAGACAAUGAUGCAUAGCCGAGUUGAGAGACUGAUCGGCCACAUUGGGACUGAGACACGGCCCAAACUCCUACGGGAGGCUGCAGUAGGGAAUCUUCCACAAUGGGCGAAAGCCUGAUGGAGCAACGCCGCGUGUGUGAUGAAGGCUUUCGGGUCGUAAAGCACUGUUGUAUGGGAAGAACAGCUAGAAUAGGGAAUGAUUUUAGUUUGACGGUACCAUACCAGAAAGGGACGGCUAAAUACGUGCCAGCAGCCGCGGUAAUACGUAUGUCCCGAGCGUUAUCCGGAUUUAUUGGGCGUAAAGCGAGCGCAGACGGUUGAUUAAGUCUGAUGUGAAAGCCCGGAGCUCAACUCCGGAAUGGCAUUGGAAACUGGUUAACUUGAGUGCAGUAGAGGUAAGUGGAACUCCAUGUGUAGCGGUGGAAUGCGUAGAUAUAUGGAAGAACACCAGUGGCGAAGGCGGCUUACUGGACUGUAACUGACGUUGAGGCUCGAAAGUGUGGGUAGCAAACAGGAUUAGAUACCCUGGUAGUCCACACCGUAAACGAUGAACACUAGGUGUUAGGAGGUUUCCGCCUCUUAGUGCCGAAGCUAACGCAUUAAGUG
RNAcentral lists this ribosomal RNA (857 nucleotides) under Leuconostoc pseudomesenteroides. RNAcentral describes it as "bacterial SSU rRNA". It matches the Rfam family "Bacterial small subunit ribosomal RNA", at positions 28 to 866 of the family's 1533-position model. Lineage: Bacteria; Bacillati; Bacillota; Bacilli; Lactobacillales; Lactobacillaceae. The record is from RNAcentral.